Molecule: ribosomal RNA, 489 nt
Filed under: uncultured bacterium
Lineage: Bacteria
Description: partial 16S ribosomal RNA
Rfam family: Bacterial small subunit ribosomal RNA
Source: RNAcentral
GAUGAACGCUGGCGGCGUGCUUAACACAUGCAAGUCGAACGGGAUCCAUCGGGCUUUGCUUGGUGGUGAGAGUGGCGAACGGGUGAGUAAUGCGUGACCGACCUGCCCCAUGCACCGGAAUAGCUCCUGGAAACGGGUGGUAAUGCCGGAUGCUCCAUCACACCGCAUGGUGUGUUGGGAAAGCCUUUGCGGCAUGGGAUGGGGUCGCGUCCUAUCAGCUUGAUGGCGGGGUAACGGCCCACCAUGGCUUCGACGGGUAGCCGGCCUGAGAGGGCGAGCGGCCACAUUGGGACUGAGGUACGGCCCAGACUCCUACGGGAGGCAGCAGUGGGGAAUAUUGCACAAUGGGCGCAAGCCUGAUGCAGCGACGCCGCGUGAGGGAUGGAGGCCUUCGGGUUGUAAACCUCUUUUGUUAGGGAGCAAGGCAUUUUGUGUUGAGUGUACCUUUCGAAUAAGCACCGGCUAACUACGUGCCAGCAGCCGCAGUAA